GUGCUCACUUCAGCAACACAUAUACUAAAAUUGGAGCGAUACAGAGAAGAUUAGCAUGGCCCCUGCACAAGGAUGACAUACAAAUUCAUGAAGUGAUCCAUAUUAAA
Small nuclear RNA from Erinaceus europaeus (western European hedgehog), 107 nucleotides. NCBI's taxonomy places the organism in Eukaryota, Metazoa, Chordata, Mammalia, Eulipotyphla, Erinaceidae. The record is from Ensembl.